Molecule: unclassified non-coding RNA, 329 nt
Filed under: Hevea brasiliensis (rubber tree)
Lineage: Eukaryota; Viridiplantae; Streptophyta; Magnoliopsida; Malpighiales; Euphorbiaceae
Source: RNAcentral
CUCGGCAAGACAGGGCUCUUUGGGCAUUUCUGUAGGUACGUUACAUUUGAGCUUCGGCCUCUGACCUUCUAGCUUUGGGGAAAAUAUUGAUUUAGAUUUGUGUAUGGUGAGUACUUGACUUUUGGGGGAUUGCUUCACUUGCAGUUCACCUUUGAAUUUUUCCAGUUGCUUGUUUCUGUCUUUCUUUAUAGGAUUUAACAUGAGCAGACCUCUCUUUAUUCCAGGAAUUUGUUUUGCGCCAGUCUGCUUUUGAGUUACCAACUGACUUGAGGUGUGUUUUUCUCUAGUCUGACCAGCCUUUGUUCCAUUCUGUGCCUGUUCAUCUCCGG